AACGAACGCUGGCGGCGUGGCUAAGACAUGCAAGUCGAACGGGCUCGUUAAUUUAUUAGCGAGCCAGUGGCGAAAGGGUGAGUAAUGAAUAGGUAACGUACCCCGAGCUCUGGGAUAGCCAUCCGAAAGGAUGGGUAAUACCGGAUAACAUCACGAGUCGAUGGGCUCGUGAUCAAAGAUUCAUCGGCGCGGGAGCGGCCUAUUUCCUAUCAGCUAGUUGGUGAGGUAACGGCCCACCAAGGCGAUGACGGGUAGCGGGACUGAGAGGUUGGCCCGCCACAUCGGAACUGAGACACUGUCCGGACCCCCACGGGGGGCUGCAGUAACGAAUCUUGGGCAAUGGGCGAAAGCCUGACCCAGCGACGCCGCGUGCGGGAGGAAGUCCUUCGGGAUGUAAACCGCUGUCAGGGACGUGAAAGUCCACUUCGGUGGAUUGAUCUAACCCAAAGGAAGUCACGGCUAACUCUGUGCCAGCAGCCGCGGUAAGACAGAGGUGGCUAGCGUUGUUCGGUAUCACUGGGCUUAAAGCGCGUGUAGGCGGGAACGUAAGCAUUUUGUGAAAUCCCCCGGCUCAACCGGGGCAUUGCUUGAUGUACUGCGUUCCUUGAGGCAAGUAGGGGUGCGAGGAACUCUUGGUGGAGCGGUGGAAUGCGUAGAUAUCAAGAGGAACGCCGGUGGUGAAGACGUCGCACUAGGCUUGUCCUGACGCUGAGACACGAAAGCGUGGGGAGCGAACGGGAUUAGAUACCCCGGUAGUCCACGCCGUAAACGAUGCUUACUAGGUUGUGGCGGUUCUGACGCCGGCACAGCCGAAGCCAAAGUGUUAAGUAGGCCGCCUGGGGAGUACGGUCGCAAGGCUAAAACUCAAAGGAAUUGACGG
Molecule: ribosomal RNA, 880 nt
Filed under: uncultured bacterium
Lineage: Bacteria
Description: bacterial SSU rRNA
Rfam family: Bacterial small subunit ribosomal RNA
Source: RNAcentral